This 481-nucleotide ribosomal RNA is filed under the name Alternaria alternata. Its description in RNAcentral is "eukaryotic LSU rRNA". The stretch from base 122 to 275 matches the Rfam family "5.8S ribosomal RNA". Lineage: Eukaryota; Fungi; Ascomycota; Dothideomycetes; Pleosporales; Pleosporaceae. The record is from RNAcentral.
GCUGAAUUAUUCACCCUUGUCUUUUGCGUACUUCUUGUUUCCUUGGUGGGUUCGCCCACCACUAGGACAAACAUAAACCUUUUGUAAUUGCAAUCAGCGUCAGUAACAAAUUAAUAAUUACAACUUUCAACAACGGAUCUCUUGGUUCUGGCAUCGAUGAAGAACGCAGCGAAAUGCGAUAAGUAGUGUGAAUUGCAGAAUUCAGUGAAUCAUCGAAUCUUUGAACGCACAUUGCGCCCUUUGGUAUUCCAAAGGGCAUGCCUGUUCGAGCGUCAUUUGUACCCUCAAGCUUUGCUUGGUGUUGGGCGUCUUGUCUCUAGCUUUGCUGGAGACUCGCCUUAAAGUAAUUGGCAGCCGGCCUACUGGUUUCGGAGCGCAGCACAAGUCGCACUCUCUAUCAGCAAAGGUCUAGCAUCCAUUAAGCCUUUUUUUCAACUUUUGACCUCGGAUCAGGUAGGGAUACCCGCUGAACUUAAGCAUA